RNAcentral lists this ribosomal RNA (301 nucleotides) under uncultured bacterium. Its description in RNAcentral is "partial 16S ribosomal RNA". It matches the Rfam family "Bacterial small subunit ribosomal RNA", at positions 509 to 807 of the family's 1533-position model. The record is from RNAcentral.
CAGCCGCCGCGGUAAUACGAAGGGGGCUAGCGUUGUUCGGAAUUACUGGGCGUAAAGCGCACGUAGGCGGAUACUUAAGUCAGGGGUGAAAUCCCAGAGCUCAACUCUGGAACUGCCUUUGAUACUGGGUAUCUUGAGUAUGGAAGAGGUUAGUGGAAUUGCGAGUGUAGAGGUGAAAUUCGUAGAUAUUCGCAGGAACACCAGUGGCGAAGGCGGCUAACUGGUCCAUAACUGACGCUGAGGUGCGAAAGCGUGGGGAGCAAACAGGAUUAGAUACCCCCGUAGUCCCUGUCUCUUAUAC